Molecule: long non-coding RNA, 384 nt
Filed under: Gossypium raimondii (Peruvian cotton)
Lineage: Eukaryota; Viridiplantae; Streptophyta; Magnoliopsida; Malvales; Malvaceae
Description: long non-coding RNA (GRAI_LNC005150)
Source: RNAcentral
ACACACUUAAACAACAUUAACCAUAAUUUCAAUAUUCACUAACAUGUAUAUUCAAAGCUGUUUAUCCGAGUCAGAGUCACUAAAUUAUUUUUACCCAGAGCUACAGAGCUCCAAAUUAAGAUCCGUUAAUUUUCCCUGAAACUAGACUCACAUAUAUUCAUAGCAUAAAAUUUUCAGAAUUUUUGGUUGAGCCAAAUAAUACAGUUUAUUCUUUAAAGUUUCCCCUGUUUCGCUGUCUGACAGUUUCGACCACUCUUCACUAAAAAUUAAUUAUCUCAUUGUACAGAAUUCAAAUGAUGUUUUCGUUUGUUUCUUCUAAAAAUAGACUAAUUAAGGAUUAUAACCAUAUAAAUUAUAACUCAUAAUCAUUUUUUUACAAUUUUU